This 550-nucleotide ribosomal RNA is filed under the name uncultured bacterium. Its description in RNAcentral is "bacterial SSU rRNA". It matches the Rfam family "Bacterial small subunit ribosomal RNA", at positions 31 to 623 of the family's 1533-position model. The record is from RNAcentral.
AAACGCUAGCGGCGUGCUUCCACAUGCAGUCGAACGGAAAAGAGUACAUCUUUUCAGUGGCGGACGGGUGAGUAUGAGAAUUUGCCCUUAUGGCAGAGGAUAACAAUUAGAAAUAAUUGCUAAAACUCUAUAUGUUGGAAACAAUGAAAAAAGAAAUUUGCCUAAGGAGAAGCUCACAUUUGAUUAGCUAGUUGGUAGGGUAAGAGCCUACCAAGGCGACGAUCAAUAGUUGGUCUGAGAGGACGAUCAGCCACACUGGAACUGAGACACGGUCCAGACUCCUACGGGAGGCAGCAGUGAGGAAUAUUCCGCAAUGGGCGAAAGCCUGACGGAGCAACGCCGCGUGAGGGAUGAAGGCCUACGGGUUGUAAACCUCUUUAUCCAAGGGAGGAAGAUCUGACCGUUACUUGGAGAAUAAGCAUCGGCUAAACCUGUGACAGCAGACGCGGUAAUACAGGGGAUGCAAGUGUUAUCCGGAUUCAUUGGGCGUAAAGCGUCUACAGGUUGAUAUAUAAGUCUUAUGUAAAAUCUGGAGCUUAACUUCAAAAUG